RNAcentral lists this ribosomal RNA (284 nucleotides) under Terellia palposa. Its description in RNAcentral is "partial 18S rRNA". It matches the Rfam family "Eukaryotic small subunit ribosomal RNA", at positions 1199 to 1449 of the family's 1831-position model. The record is from RNAcentral. Lineage: Eukaryota; Metazoa; Arthropoda; Insecta; Diptera; Tephritidae.
CUCAACACGGGAAAACUUACCAGGUCCGAACAUAAGCGUGUAAGACAGAUUGAUAGCUCUUUCUCGAAUCUAUGGGUGGUGGUGCAUGGCCGUUCUUAGUUCGUGGAGUGAUUUGUCUGGUUAAUUCCGAUAACGAACGAGACUCAAAUAUAUUAAAUAGAUGCUUUCAGGACUAUGGUGUUGAAGCUUAUUAUAGCCUUCAUUCAUGAUUUCACAAAUUGUGUUAAAAUGUUUGAAUGUGUUUAUAUAAGUGGAGUCAUACCUGUUGGUUUGUCCCAUUAUAA